CUCAGAUGAUCUCCCUGCCUCGGCCUCCCAAAGCGCUGGGAUUACAGGCGUGAGCCACCGCGUCUGGCCGGUACUUCAACUAAAUAUUUAAGAUUAUUAGUACAUUGAGCUCAUCAAUGCUUCCACUUUGGGGUCCAAGAGCAAAACUGGAGCUAAUUCAGAUUAUCACCACCUAAGUUGCUUACUUUUAAAAAUUAUUAUUAUUUUUAAAUUUGGAAUGUCUCAGGGUUUCUGCUCCAAUUCAUAAUUCCUGUGUCUUUAGUGGAAAUGUCAGUACUUUAUAGGAUGACACACACAGCAUUAUUCCUGGCUGUUGAGACACCAAAAAGCCUGAUUUACUGUUCCUUCCAGAGGAUCCCCAACACCGACAUUGACUAAAUUCCUUUUCUGCAAGCAUCCUGGCAGAUGUUCUGGUUAAGACCUUGCACCGUCACGAGCUCAUCCUUUUCAUGCUCCAACAGCUGUUGAGUGCUGUGUAGCCACCACCCAAGCAUCUGACAUGUCGAUUUCAUUCUAG
Molecule: long non-coding RNA, 517 nt
Filed under: Homo sapiens (human)
Lineage: Eukaryota; Metazoa; Chordata; Mammalia; Primates; Hominidae
Description: non-protein coding lnc-NCOA3-9:5
Source: RNAcentral